CAUUAGAUGGCUGAAAAUUAAGCAAUGGUCUCUUAAACCAGAAUAUAGUAUAUAUUACUUCUAAUGA
RNAcentral lists this transfer RNA (67 nucleotides) under Exothotettix guangxiensis. Its description in RNAcentral is "tRNA-Lys". The record is from RNAcentral. Lineage: Eukaryota; Metazoa; Arthropoda; Insecta; Orthoptera; Tetrigidae.